UUAUUAUCGCAGUUGAUAAACCUGGCUACAUUGAUAAGCUUAUGAUUACAUUACACCAUAUUCUUCUAAUUAUGUUAUUUUGCAAUAAUGCGUUCAUUAUUUUACACAUUAAUUUUUGUUAGUUGGAUAUUAGCCUUGUUCGGUUGAUGUUUUCAUACUUUAAAUGUAUGGUAGAGGAGGCGGGGUGUUCAAAAAAUAGUUUUGUGGUGAAGCUUUGCUGCGAAGUAUGAAGUAUGUUCUCCCUGAUCAUUGGAUCUAAAAUCCAAAUCGAUUGUUCGUAAUUUGAAAAGUUUACCGUCGAAAAGAAUGAAUUUAUUCGUAAAAACAGCAUUUGUUUGGUAUCUGACUGUGUUUGACCCUUUCAUAAAAUAUGAAGAGUCACUCAAGUCACUGAUAUGGUCACCAUCUUCAUGCAAAGAAAUUCGUGUGAAAGACAUUAAAGGAGAAAAAUAUCGCGAAAUAAAACAACAAGAUGAAGACUUUGAAAAGUACGCGCAUGUGUAUAAUGAUAGGAAUGGUACCAUUACCGUAUCCGUAUUAAUUCCAUGUACUGGUAAUGAUGAAUGCAACUGCAAGUGCCCUGCAAAAGAUUCGUAUGGAUUAUCAUAUUAUCUCAGAAUUAUUUGGUGUAUAAUUAGAAAUGAAAUCAUAUUUUCAAUUAUUAAAGCUGUCAUUGAUUUUCUGCGGAUCGGUCCGAGAACAUCACGCUGGUUGAUCGCGUAAGGCUGGUACAUAUGUGUAACUUUACGACUUUGAUUAUUUUGGUUUUUUGUGGGUGCUUUUCUGCGAAGGAUGUUCUCCUUGAUCGUUGGAUCUAAAAUCUAAUCGUUUCUGUUUGUCAAUUUCUCUAAGAUUCAGUUCCCCGUCCCUUCUAAUAAUAAUUAUGUAAAUACCUACCUACCCAUGAUUUUAGGAUUGUAGUUUGAAUAAUUUGACAGUCGACGUGGGAGAUUACAAAUCCACACGAGAAUUAUUCAUUAAUCAUAAAUAUAUCUUAGAAAUUUCUUUUGGGCGAUGGAAAAUAUUUACAAUUUUGCUACUCCUAAAUUUACUGUAUUGGUUCAUUAAUGAAGUGAAGGUGACCAAUAAAAAGAAGCAGAAGUUGAAGUACAAAUAUUAUUUUAUUAAGAAGAAAGUUCUGUGAUUUUAUUUUAAGCAGUGUGAUUUCUUCUUGCUCAAUAUACUUAUUUUACCUACACUUAUUUUAGACACGUGAAAUAGAUAUUAUUAAGCAUUGUCAAUUAGAGAAAGCUGUGUAACAGAUUUUUGCUCAAAAGCCAGAUUAUCAACAAAUCAUGAAGAAAUAUUGCAAUAAGAUUUAUCAAAAGAAACACAUCCUUGGUUUUUAUUUUAUAAUACCUAAGUGCAUUAAGAUAAUUAUCGCACAAUUUGUAGAAAUGAUUAAAAUUAAAAUUCAAGCAUUGGAAUUUGUACGUGUAUUCAUUAUUUUGGAUCCUUCUUAAGUAGAUUUUUCGAGUUCCGAUAAAGUUAUAAAAACCCACCCGUGGCUCCGAAAUGGCUCGAAAUCACCUCCAAAUAUUUCGAGCGCUUGGAUACAUACCGAUUAUAAAACCAAUUUCAGUGUUCUAUUUUGAUUGAUUAUAUUAUGGUAAAUUUUAAUGGGGUUGUUUCCAUGAGAAAUGUGACGGUUAAGUAUGUGCUGAAUUUCAUUUUCUAAAUUUUUGGUAAAUAAAUAGGCAAUUUAAUUUCGAUUCAUCUCCUGAGUCAUUCUAUGGCGAAUGGCCAAGCUUUUGGUUCUUGGGUUGGGCGAUUUUGAAAAUAUUUUUCAUGUCGUUAUGGACCUCGAUGGGUAGGGAUAUUGUAAAGUUCGAGUAGGGUCAAUUUGAAUGAACUACAAAUGGUAUUGUAUAAUCGAAUUUUUUGAAGCAUUUGCCACUUCGUGGAUGCAUGGAAGAGUUCUUUAGAGAUGUAUUGAAAAUCAGUGUUGCCACCUUUUCAAGUCCGAAAAAUUGACUGGAAAAAAAAAGUUUAUAAAAAUCAUCUUCUUUUCUCCAUGGUGUCCUCGCUCAAAAAUUCCGAAAAAAUUGCCUCAAGUGUAACUUUUAUGCUGAUGAAUAUUUUUUAAAAAAUUGAGGUGUUUUUUCUUCGUAAUUCUCGAUUUUAAAAAUUUCAAAGAUCACUAGAAAAUACAAUUUCUCUUCUUGAAAGGUCAAAAUUACGCAAAUUGACCAUUUUCAUCAAUUUUACUCCACAUUCAAAGGAAAAGUCGCCAAAAUCAGUUGAAUUCUUCUGAAACCCUAGAUGCUGUUGAAAUUAGGUACAUUUUUGUGAGACUUCUCAUGUUUUUUCGUCAAUUUUUGAAUCCUACGCAAAAACUGAUCUGAGGAGUACAUAAAGUGCAUUUAUACAUACCAAUUUUUUCGAAAAAGUGAAGCCAUAAAAUCAACCAAUCACAAAUCGCAUAGACCACGUGUUAUUCGGGAGGUGAGGGCUCUGAUUGGUUAGUUGUCGAGAGGUGAAAACUCUGAUGGGUCAAAUUUUUCGGGAGGAGAACAAUUUUAACGACACGAGUUUCCGAUCCUGUUUAAUAUUUAUACCUAUCUAUGGUUAUCGCAGUUGAUAAACGUGGCUACUUUGAUAAGCUUACAAUAAUAUGUACCAUGUUCUUCUAAAAUCUUAUAUGUAUAUUAUGUAAAUGUGUACCUAGUACCUACAUUAUUUUUACGCAUUAAUUUUUGUUAGUUGGAUAUUGGACUUGUUCAGUUGAUGUUUUCAAACUUUAAAUGUAGGUACCUAGUACUGGUGUUUAAAAAAUAGUUUUGUGUUGGUGUUUUUUUCGCGAAGGAUGUUCUCCCUGAUCAUUGGAUCAUGAAUUUAUUUGUAAAAAUUACUUGUAUGAUAUAUAUUGGGUUCUUAAACCCUCUAUUCUUAAAAUAUGAAAAAGAUUUGAUAUGGGCACCCGCACCUCCAUCAAAAGAAAUUCGUAUUGAAGUCAUUGACGGAAAAAAAUUUCGCGUGAUAAACCGACAAGAUGAAGAAUUUGAAACCUACAAAAACAAGUAUAUGAGCGAUGAUUUGACUGACAGCAUACAUAUUUUAUGUAAUGGUGAUGAUGAAUGCAACCGCAAGUAUCCUGAAGAAUUAUCUUAUCUCGAAAUUCUUUGGUGUAUGGUUAGGAGUAUUAUCGUAUAUGAAAUUAUUGUAGCUGUCAUUGAUUCUCUGCGUACCGGUCCGAUAAUGGGUGCCAUUUAUCGGCACGACAGAUUAAAUGAUUUGAACGACAAAAAAAAGUGUUUUGCACGACAGAUUCCAACGUCCCAAAACCACUUUUUUAACGACGAAAACAGUUUUGAACCAUUGCACGACAACAAAAAUUCAAGUGCACGCCAAUAAAAUCAAGUGAACGCCAACGCAUGCCCGACAAGUUGAAUGAAAUGCAUCGACGACUUUAGGAAAUGAACGACGACAUAAUGAUAAAAGCGACGAAUUUAUUCACAAAAUUAAAAUUUCCAAAAACGAUUGGUGUUGGUUUCGAACCGAUCUGAAGCCUCCACUGGAUUUACCAAUAAAAACUUUCUAAAGCUGAAAAUUAGGUAAACAUGAAAUUCAGCACUUAUAAAGGCACAUUAGGUGCAUAUCUUUAAAUUCUUUUUGAGCCGGUUCAAAUCCAAAAUUUUCUCCAAAGGAUGUUCUCUCCAAUCAUUAGAUUAUAUAACAUCUAGUCCUAUGUAUCUUUAAUUAUUGUUGUUUUUCUCUGUUUGUCAAUCUCUCUAAGAUUCAGAUCCUUCUAUGUAAGCCUAUUUACUUAUGUAGAUAGAGAUACCUACCUAUCUAUCUAUGAUUUUAGGAUUGUAAUUUGAAUAAUAAUUUACAGUCACCAAAAGAGGCUAUAAAUCCGCAAAAGAAUUAUUCAAUAAUCAUAAAUACACCUCAUCAUUAUCUAUAGAAUAUUUAAAGUUUUGCUACUUCUAAAUUUACUGUAUUGAUUCAUCAGUGAAGAUGACCAAUAAAAAGAAGCAGAAGCUAAAGUACUCGUAUUAUUUUAUUAAGAAGAAAGUUCUGUGAUUUCUUUCGAGCAGUGUGAUUUCUUCUUGCUUAAUAAGUAUAUAUUUUACACUUGGGCAUGUGAAAUAGAUAUUAAGCAUUGUCAUUUAGAGAAAUAUUUGUAACAGAUUUUUUCUCAAAAGCAAGAUUACCAACAAAUCAUGAAAAAAGAAAUAUUGCUAUAGGUAAGAGUUAUCAAAAGAAACACAUCCUUGGUUUUAUUUCAUAGUUAUGCGCAUUUAGAUAAUUAUCGUACAAUUUGUAAAAAUGAUUAAAAUUAAAAUUCCUGCAUUCGAAUUUGUAUUUGGAUCCUCCUAUAAGGGGAUUUUUCGAGCUCCGAUAAAGUUAUAAAAACCCACCCGUGGCUCCAAAAUGUCUUGAAAUCACCACCAUGUUGACUCAUCAUCCGUGAAAAAUCAGACCGUUAUCAAAAUUGAGUUUAAAAGUAGCAUUUGGGGAAAAAUGGAUUUGAGGAAAUGGGUUUGCGGGGAAACGUUCGGUUGGGAUAACGGAUUCGGGGAAUUAUACCAAAAUCAUUUGGUGUAGGUAUACCAUACCUACCCUUUCCAAAUCGAUUGACGGUUGUUUCAAGCCAUCCUGAAUCUGAAGCCCCCAGCAGAUUUCUGAAGGUUCCAGUUUUUAAGAAAAUACAUCAAUGUUGACCAAAAGCGUUGUGAAAAUGGGUCAUUUGAGAUGGCUGGCAAUAAAUUUAUUUCAGUCUUUUCAUUCACCUUAUAAGUUUUGCCCUGGAUUCUGAAAAAUCCUAAAAAGUAUAUGCAAAAGUAAAUCAAGGGACGAAAUUACCAUUUCUGGAUUUUAUUUUCCAAUUGUUGGUCAAUUCAUUUUUCCCUACGCGUUAAUGAAAAUAUCAGGAACAUUUUAUCUAAUAGUACAGAGAGAGAGACAGAGACACAAAUAUUUUUUAGUAGCCUAAUUUCAAUUUACAUACCUACUACAUGAAGCACACUAUUAUACCUCUGUUGAUACCUAUUUAUACAAAAAGUAUGUCUUUAUGGACGACCAAAAUCUUAGGGAAAUAAAAUGAAAUUCUUUUAGAAAAAGGCUUGAAAAAACACGUUUAUUUUUGAGAAAGUACACGACCAACUUGAUACAUUUCUGGAAAAAUUUCAUCGAAAUUCGAAAGCACCUUCAAAUACGUUGAUUAUAAAAAAAAAACACACACACACGAAAAAAACUUACAAAAUGAGUGAAUUUUGAAAAAAAAAUCGUAAAAAUUUAAUCAUUUGAAAAACGAUCACAAAAAUCUUGAAAGAUAGGAAGACCAAUUUGAAAAAACUAGUUGGAAAACCAUCGACGAACACCUAUAGGCUAUAGCCUUCAUUAAAAUAGAAACACUUUGGAAAUUAUAGAAGCGUAGUUUUCGCGCAGGCAUAACAGCGCUCCUGAGCGAAAAAAUUGAUGCCGGAUUGCCGGGUGUUGGAACUUGGAACCAACUUUUAUCGACAGUAAGUAACCGAGUUAUACCACCAGAUUGCGCUAUUAACUUGAGAACAAAACGCAUUUAGGUCACAAAAAAAAUUAUGAAAGCUCAAGGUUGUAAAACUACUGAAAAAACUGUUUUUUCGUGUUUUUUUUUUUGUAUGUUUGAGCUUUUAUAACUUUUUUUCUAUAUCGCGGAUAGGUAAUUUUCAAACCAACUCGCAUCUGGUAGAGAAUUUAACGUAGAUUAUUUUCUUUCCUUACCUCAAAUACCUAUGUCCUUUCUCAAAAUUUUGAGUAAUUUCCAUAAAAAUAAAUAAAGUCGAUGCAUCACAGACAACUGGGAAUAUCAAAAGCUGAAGCGGGGUAGUGAAAUGUGAAAUGAUUCAUCAGGACUCAUCUAAAGCUAUUUUCCUGCGAUUUAGGUCGACCAUACAGACAUAUGUACUUCACUUUUUGUAUGCUGACAGAGGUAUUGUAGUGUGCUUUAUGAGCGUAAUUAAUAAAAAUACCUAGUUUUUAUAUUUCGAUUCAUAAAGCAGAUGAUUCUAAACUCGUGCGAUACAGCGCUCCCUUGUAAUCACCUACUUUAUGAAUCUUGUUGUAAAAACUACUUAUGCUUUAUCGAGUUUCUAACUUUUUCAAAUUUUGAUAAGCUUACAAUUAGGCCAUGUUCUUCUAAUGUCUUCGUUUAUAUAAAUGUGUACAUAAUUUUACCCAUUAAUUUUUGUUAGUUGAAUAUUGGCCUUGUUCCGUUGAUGUUUUCAAACUUUAAAUGUAGUGCUGGUGUUGAAAAAAAAUAGUUUUGUGUUACUGAGUGCUUUUUCGCAAGGGAUGCUCUGCCUGAUCAUUGGAUCUAAAAUCUAAUCGUUUGUAAUUUGAAAAGUUGACUGUCGACAAGUGAGGCUACAGAUUAGCACGAGAAUUAUUCAAUAAUUGAGAUGAAUUUAUUCGUAAGAACAACAUUUUAUUUGUUUCUGUCUAUCUCCGACCCUUUCGUAAAAUAUGAAGAAUCACUAAUAUCACUAAUAUGGCCACCUACAUCAGAAGAAAUUCGUGUUGAAGUCAUCGAUGGACAAAAAUUUCGCGCAAUAGACCGACUAGAUGAAGACUUUAAAAAGUACGUGGAUGUGCCUGAUAAUUGGAAUACGAGUAGUACCGUAACCUUAUAUAUUCCAUGUAGCAACUGCAAGUGUCCUGCAAAUGAUUCGCAUGAAACACCUUAUCUCAAAAUUCUUUGGUGUGCAGUUAGGAAUAAUAUCGUAUAUGCAAUUCUUGAUGCUGCCUAUGAUUUUCUGCGGACCGGUCCGAAAAUAUCACGCUGGUUGAUCGCGUGACACUGGUGUAGUGCUGUAUGUACGAGUAGGUACGCGUAACUUUACAACUUUAGACUUCAGUUUUUUGUUGAUGUUUUUCCGCGAAAAAUGUUCUUCCUGAUCAUUGGAUCUAAAAUCUAAUCGUAUUUUACUCGUAUCUCUAAUUAUUGUAGUUUGUUUCUGUUUGUACGUCAAUUUCUCUCUAAUAUUCAGUUCCUUCUACAUAUGUAAGCCAAUUUAGUUACUCAUGUACAGGGUGCCCAGAAAUAUCGAGCACCCCUAAAAAAGUUUUCUACUAAAAUACUUCGGUUGGUCACAGUGAAUGAUAAUAAUGAUAGCACAUGAUUGGUUGUUGGACUGGAGAGAUAACAUUCCACCAAUCAUAUGCAUCUAUUUCACGUUGCCAAUCUAUUUUUUUAAUGAAAAACUUUCUUAGGGGUGCUCGAUAUUUCUGGGCACCCUGUAGAUACCUACCUACCUUUGAUUUUAGGAUUGUACAUUAUUUGAAUAGUGAAAACAGACGUAGGAGGUUACAAAUCCGCGCGAGAAUUAUUCAAUAAUCAUAAAUAUACAUAUCUUAUCAUUGUC
Planococcus citri (citrus mealybug) is the source of this 7349-nucleotide long non-coding RNA. RefSeq lists it as uncharacterized. The transcript is spliced from 3 exons. Lineage: Eukaryota; Metazoa; Arthropoda; Insecta; Hemiptera; Pseudococcidae. The record is from RefSeq and is a predicted model, not a curated record.